CCUCUGGCAGUCCAGUGGUUAAGACUCUGAACUUCCACUUCAGGGGUCACAGGUUCAAUCCUUGAUUGGGGGA
This 73-nucleotide transfer RNA is filed under the name Ovis aries (sheep). It matches the Rfam family "tRNA". Rfam says of the family: Transfer RNA (tRNA) molecules are approximately 80 nucleotides in length. Their secondary structure includes four short double-helical elements and three loops (D, anti-codon, and T loops). The record is from Rfam by way of RNAcentral. Lineage: Eukaryota; Metazoa; Chordata; Mammalia; Artiodactyla; Bovidae.